RNAcentral lists this ribosomal RNA (516 nucleotides) under uncultured bacterium. RNAcentral describes it as "bacterial SSU rRNA". It matches the Rfam family "Bacterial small subunit ribosomal RNA", at positions 8 to 518 of the family's 1533-position model. The record is from RNAcentral.
AGAGUUUGAUUCUGGCUCAGGAUGAACGCUAGCGGCAGGCUUAACACAUGCAAGUCGAGGGGCAGCGCGGGGUAGCAAUACUCUGGCGGCGACCGGCGGAAGGGUGCGUAACGCGUGAGCAACAUGCCCGUGGCAGGGGGAUAAGCGAUGGAAACGUCGUCUAAGACCCCGUAACAACAGAGUCCGCAUGGAUUUUGUUUGAAAGCUUCGGCGGCCACGGAUUGGCUCGCGUCCCAUUAGGCAGUUGGCGGGGUAACGGCCCACCAAACCGACGAUGGGUAGGGGUUCUGAGAGGAAGGUCCCCCACAAUGGAACUGAGACACGGUCCAUACUCCCACGGGAGGCAGCAGUGAGGAAUAUUGGUCAAUGGGCGGAAGCCUGAACCAGCCAUGCCGCGUGCAGGAAUAAGGCCCUACGGGUCGUAAACUGCUUUUGUACGGGAGCAAUAAGGGCCACGUGUGACCUGAUGAGAGUACCGUACGAAUAAGCAUCGGCUAACUCCGUGCCAGCCGCGGC